Molecule: transfer RNA, 124 nt
Filed under: Penicillium viridicatum
Lineage: Eukaryota; Fungi; Ascomycota; Eurotiomycetes; Eurotiales; Aspergillaceae
Also listed under: 1 other name
Description: tRNA-Trp
Source: RNAcentral
GGACCUGUGGCGCAGCGGUAUGUUUCCACCUUUCAAAGGUCUUCAAUUCAAUUACUAAUAAUUUCCCAGGUAGCGCGUGAGAUUCCAGACCUCAAGGUCAUCCGUUCGAUCCGGGUCGGGUUCA